RNAcentral lists this ribosomal RNA (534 nucleotides) under Triticum aestivum (bread wheat). Its description in RNAcentral is "partial small subunit ribosomal RNA". The record is from RNAcentral. Lineage: Eukaryota; Viridiplantae; Streptophyta; Magnoliopsida; Poales; Poaceae.
AUGGGGAAGGAGAAGACGACGGCUCUGGAGCGGGCAAAGAAGGCGACGACGAGGUCGAAGGGGAAGGCGACCAGUCGGGGCGGAUCCUCCUCGCGAACCAGCCUGCCGAAGGGCUGGAUCCAGGGCGACUGGAUCCACUCGAGGCUCACCCAAGAAGACCUCGACGACCUGGCCGAGGGAGGGCUGAUCCCCUAUGACUCGGCGCAGCUUCCGGGGAAGGAAUCCGAGCCGCAACCCCGGGAGGGUGAGCGAGUUCUUCUUGCCACCCACGUCGACCGUGGAUUUUCCUUGCCUCCUCACCCUUUCUUUCGAGGAUUUCUGAACUUCUUAGGGGCACAACUCCACCAUUUUACUCCCAACACAAUCGUUUAUCUCGCCGCUUUCAUUUCUUUGUGUGAGAAUUUCCUGGGUUGCCGGCUUCACUGGGGUCUUUUCAAGCAUAUUUUCACUUGUUGCUCCCAGACAGUGAAAAAGGCUAAUCCGAGUGAUGAGAGGACCCAAGUGAUCCAGAUGUGUGGGGGUCUUGGUAUCUAG